GAAACCAAACAGGGAUUGCCUCAGUAACGGCGAGUGAAGCGGCAACAGCUCAAAUUUGAAAUCUGGCCUCGGCCCGAAUUGUAAUUUGCAGAGGAUGCUUCNGGGGCGGCACCGUGCUAAGUCCUUUGGAACAGGGCGUCCGAGNGGGUGAGAAUCCCGUACGCGCGCGGCGGCCAACCCUAUGUGAAGCUCCUUCGACGAGUCGAGUUGUUUGGGAAUGCAGCUCAAAAUGGGUGGUAAAUUUCAUCUAAAGNUAAAUACCGGCUGGAGACCGAUAGCGCACAANUNGAGUGAUCGAAANAUGAAAAGCACUUUGGNAAGANAGUUAAAAAGUNCGUGAAAUUGUUGAAAGGGAAGCGCUUGCAGCCAGACUCGCCCGGGGGUGCUCANCCGUCCUUCGGGGCGGUGCAUUCAUCCCCGGGCGGGCCAGCAUCGGUUCGGGCGGCCGGAUAAAGGCCCUGGGAACGUAGCUCCCCUCGGGGAGUGUUUAGCCCGGGGUGCCAUGCGGCCAGCCGGGACCGAGGACCGCGCUCGGCAAGAUGCGCUA
This 547-nucleotide ribosomal RNA is filed under the name Ingvariella bispora. RNAcentral describes it as "LSU rRNA". It matches the Rfam family "Eukaryotic large subunit ribosomal RNA", at positions 56 to 616 of the family's 3401-position model. Lineage: Eukaryota; Fungi; Ascomycota; Lecanoromycetes; Ostropales; Graphidaceae. The record is from RNAcentral.